Molecule: microRNA precursor, 62 nt
Filed under: Erinaceus europaeus (western European hedgehog)
Lineage: Eukaryota; Metazoa; Chordata; Mammalia; Eulipotyphla; Erinaceidae
Description: miRNA (ENSEEUG00000020349.1)
Source: RNAcentral
GCCCAGCCCCGGGCUGGGCUGUGCGGGGCACCCAAGGGGGCUGGGGGUCGCUGGCCCAUCCU